Molecule: ribosomal RNA, 253 nt
Filed under: uncultured bacterium
Lineage: Bacteria
Description: partial 16S ribosomal RNA
Rfam family: Bacterial small subunit ribosomal RNA
Source: RNAcentral
GACGGAGGGUGCUAGCGUUAUUCGGAAUUACUGGGCGUAAAGGGCGCGUAGGCGGCCCUGUCAGUCGGGUGUGAAAGCCCGGGGCUCAACCCCGGAACGGCACCCGAGACGGCAGGGCUGGAGACCGGGAGAGGAGGGUGGAAUAGCCAGUGUAGAGGUGAAAUUCGUAGAUAUUGGCUGGAACACCGGUGGCGAAAGCGGCUCUCUGGCCCGGUUCUGACGCUGAGGCGCGAAAGCGUGGGGAGCAAACAGG